GAGGAUCCACGAUUCACAAUAUGUAAUAUCACAGCUUAUCAGCUACCUUCUGACCUCUGAACAGGUCACAGAGCAUGCCUAGAAAACUCUUCCAUAGAAGUCAAUGGGGUCAACGCCUGUUCAUUGUGUCUAUGGCCGAUGUAGCUGC
Long non-coding RNA from Bufo bufo (common toad), 148 nucleotides. RefSeq lists it as uncharacterized. Lineage: Eukaryota; Metazoa; Chordata; Amphibia; Anura; Bufonidae. The record is from RefSeq and is a predicted model, not a curated record. The transcript is spliced from 3 exons.